UUUUUAGUAUAAGUAUGUCCCAUGCAAUGGUGGGGACAUACUUAUACUGAAA
Molecule: microRNA precursor, 52 nt
Filed under: Bos taurus (domestic cattle)
Lineage: Eukaryota; Metazoa; Chordata; Mammalia; Artiodactyla; Bovidae
Also listed under: 3 other names
Description: mir-1302 microRNA precursor family
Rfam family: mir-1302 microRNA precursor family
Source: Rfam by way of RNAcentral